AACGAACGCUGGCGGCAUGCCUAACACAUGCAAGUCGAACGAGACCUUCGGGUCUAGUGGCGCACGGGUGCGUAACGCGUGGGAACCUGCCCUUAGGUUCGGAAUAACUCCCCGAAAGGGGUGCUAAUACCGGAUAAUGUCUUCGGACCAAAGAUUUAUCGCCUUUGGAUGGGCCCGCGUUGGAUUAGCUAGUUGGUAGGGUAAAAGCCUACCAAGGCGACGAUCCAUAGCUGGUCUGAGAGGAUGAUCAGCCACACUGGGACUGAGACACGGCCCAGACUCCUACGGGAGGCAGCAGUUGGGAAUAUUGGACAAUGGGCGGAAGCCUGAUCCAGCAAUGCCGCGUGAAUGAUGAAGGCCUUAGGGUUGUAAAGCUCUUUUACCCGGGAUGAUAAUGACAGUACCGGGAGAAUAAGCUCCGGCUAACUCCGUU
RNAcentral lists this ribosomal RNA (433 nucleotides) under uncultured bacterium. RNAcentral's name for it is "partial 16S ribosomal RNA". It matches the Rfam family "Bacterial small subunit ribosomal RNA", at positions 29 to 507 of the family's 1533-position model. The record is from RNAcentral.